RNAcentral lists this long non-coding RNA (775 nucleotides) under Capsicum annuum. RNAcentral describes it as "long non-coding RNA (CANN_LNC006427)". The record is from RNAcentral. Lineage: Eukaryota; Viridiplantae; Streptophyta; Magnoliopsida; Solanales; Solanaceae.
UCUUCUCAACUCAUCUCCCAUACCCGCAACAAAAACUUGACCCGACCUAAAAACACCCAUAUCCCUCAAUUCCGACCCGUCGACCCGAACAACAUCCAACAGCCGCGAAUUCCCUUAAACUUUCAACCUUAUUCGAUUUUCAAAUUUGAAAAUCAAAAUGGUAUUUACAUAGUACUAUUUCCAGCUCAUUCCUAUCCCCAUUUUUGGAGUUUUCUCUCAAAAUUCCCAAAACUCCCUUAAUGUUUCCCCCCAUAUUGGUGGAGCAGAAGUUACUCCCCAUUAUUAUUAUCUAUAAAUAGUUCAUUCUUGAGCUAAAAGAAGGGGGACUGGAGGGGUUGAAAAAAAUCUUUGAGCAAAAUCAACCCAUUUUUAGUAAAGAUUUUUUUUUUUAUAUAAAAUUGAUUGGCUAAUUGAAGUUUCUGAGUUGACGGUGAUAUUUUUUUUGUGGUGGUUGAUAUCGACAAAACUCGUAGUCUCAUUUUGCUGCCUUGAAAAAGGUGAACACGCCUCUCCCUUUUGUUUUUGUUUUUAUUACUGAUUUCUUCUUCAUCUCUUUCUCUGUAGCAAUAUUUGUUUAGUUGCAGGCGUGAAUGAGGCUGGGAUUGUUUGCUGUAGAGGCUUUGAUGGCCAUAGCAUUUGCUUGUGAUGACUAUCUUUAUGUCGUUAUUGCUUCGCAUUACUAUUUGUGAUGAUUCUUUAUUCAUUAUUUAGCUUUAUGUUGUUAUGUUAGGCUAUUGUUGUCAUAUAACUCAAAUGAUAGUUUGUUAUGUUUGUG